This 384-nucleotide small RNA is filed under the name Pongo abelii (Sumatran orangutan). RNAcentral's name for it is "processed transcript". Lineage: Eukaryota; Metazoa; Chordata; Mammalia; Primates; Hominidae. The record is from RNAcentral.
GCAGGGGGGCCGCAGCUCUCUGUGGAGGGAGCCGCUGUGCUUCCGUCACGUGCUCCCUUUCUUGCGUCUCCCUGUGAUUGGCCCUUAGGCCUGGCUGGGCCCAUUGCAUAUCCGUGUGGUGGCUUUCUGUGGCCCCUGCUGUGUUGGCAGGCAGAUUUGCGUGGUGAGGAGCGGGAGGGGUUGGAGUGGUGUGGGAGCAGGCUGCCGAGUGGAGGGUGCCAUUGAGGGCUCCGGAUCCCUUGUCCUACUUAGCAGUGUUGGUCUCUGGGGCUGGAAGCUGAGCGCAUGCUGGGAGCGGUACUGUCAGAAGUGAGCCCAGUUAGUACCCAGCUGGCUCACUGCACAAGAGAGUCCUGCCCCAAGCCCUAGGUGGGGCCAGGAGGU